Molecule: long non-coding RNA, 3702 nt
Organism: Equus asinus (donkey)
Lineage: Eukaryota; Metazoa; Chordata; Mammalia; Perissodactyla; Equidae
Source: Ensembl
CUGGGAAGCGGCCUCAGCUCGCUUGGGGAGGAGGUGGCUGUGGGCAGGUGGUCGCCGGCCUCGAGCGGUCGGGCCUGGCUUCUCCGCUACGGGCUGUUGUUCCCUACAUGGCUGGGCGAGUGGACGAGACCGGGACGCCACCCCACACGCAGCGGUGUUCCUUCCCCAGUGUCCGCGUAGAAUUACCGUCUUGGGGCUCUGGGAGGCGACCUGGUGGGACGAGGGCCCACGGGGUUCUGUUAACACUGUUCCGUGGGCCAGGGCAGGAGAAGAAAGGUCCAAGAACAGGAGUCCCUGGACAGACGUGUUAAACCUCUGGAAACAUGACAGAUUUUGGCUUAUCAGUGGAAACACAAGUGUAAAAACAGAUGUGUCACCCUUUGUGCGUUUCUGGCGGACGUAAAAUGGUGCCGCCAUUUUGGAAAACAGUCUGGUGGUUCCUCAAAAUUAGAGAUUUACAUGGACCCAGAAUUACCAUAUGACCCAGCAAUUCCACUUCUGGGUGUAUACCCUGUUAAAUAGCAAAAAAUGAAUGGAGUAAUUUAAAAGAUCAAAUUGGCUUUAUUGAAUGGGGCAGGCCCCAUGACCUAGUGGUUAAGUUCAGCCUGUGGCAGCCAUGCUGUGGCAGUGACCGACAUACAAAAUAGAGGAAGAUUGGCACAGAUGUUAGCUCAGGGCAAAUCUUCCUCAAAGGAAAUUAUUAGCAAAGAAAGCAUUGUUUUAGGCAAGGUCUCCCUUCUAGGGGUGUAACUGAGCAAAAUAGGGCUCGUUCUGCUCACCGCAAUCUGGUGCCAAUCAAUUGGAAACAAGCCAGUGGUUGAGAAAGGAAAAUUUACAUGAUUAGCCAGCAUAAUUGGAAGAUGGUGGACUAGUGUCCUGAAGAACCAUCUUAGAAUCAUACAGAAUCUUGAGGCAGUUGCAUAGGGGAAAGGGCAGGGAAGGGUGGGGGGGGGUUAGGGAUAUCAAUUAUCCAGUGUGGUGAACUUCAAGGCACCACAUUAUCUCUUUCUUCUGUCAUUUGUGAUGGGUACCAGUGCAGAAUUUUUCUUUCUGGAGGUUGUCAUGUUCCUGAGGAACUCUGAGAAGAAACUUAUCACAGCUGAGAGAUAUAUACCAAGAACUUAUCAUCAUACUCCACCUGCAACACCUACAGAUUUGGGUGAAUUCCUCUCUUCCCAAGGUCCCCAAAAUAUCCUGGGGUUCCUGCACCUGCCAGGGAAGUGACCUUCCUUAUUAACCAGAAUCCUGUAACCAGCACCAUGUGAAUGAGCCAGGGCUGGCCUGCUGGAGGACGGACAUCACACGCCCAGCUAAUACCACUGACCAUCCUGACAGCCAGCCAUCUACCAAACACGUGAGGCCAAAAAUUGCCAGCUAACCACAAAGUCAAUGAACCCAAGUGAUACCACACGGAGCAGAGAUGAACCAUCUCGGCUGCUCCCAGCCUGAAUGUCAUAAUUUAGGGCAAGUCACAUAAUUAUGAGAAAAUCAAUGGAUGUUGUUUAUGCCACUAAGUUUUCGGGUGAUUCCCUUUUUUUUUUCAAGUGUUUUUUUUUUUUUUUUCCUGAGGAAGAUUCGCUCUGAGCUAACACCUGUGGCCAAUCUUCCUCUUUUUGGUUGAGGAAUAUUCACCCUGAGCUAACAUCUUGCCAGUCUUCCUCUAUUUCAUAUGUGGGUCACCGGCACAGAAUGGCUGCUGACAAGUGGUGUAGUUCUGAGUCCAGGAACUGAACCUGGGCCGCCAAAGCAGAGGGUGCCAAACUUAACCAGUAGGCCACGGGGCUGGCCUCUAGGGUGACUUCUUACACUGCACAAACUGGCGGCUGCAUGGGUCUAGCACUGAGCCUGUUGUCUUCUGUGCUAGACGAGCUCUCUGCUCCUAGACUCCAGUCGCCAGGUGGCGGAGAGGAGAGCCGAGCCACUUGCUGAGAGGAGGCAGGGACUGUGGCUUUGUCUCCUGGGGUUGUGAGACUAUAAAUGGGAUGUAAGUGCUGUCACAGUUAACUUGCUAAAACUGAUCUUGACAGUUACACUUAAAACUCUUCAACACUCAUCAAACUGGCAAAGAUGAAAACAAUCCGCCUUCAGCACUGGCGAGGGGGGAGCAGAGGCUCCCUGACACUCUUCACUCUGAUGCUGGCAGAGCCUUUCUGAAGGGCAAUUUACAACACGUGCCAAGACCUUAAAUACCUUUUUUUUUUUUUGAAAGAGAUUAGCCCUGAGCUAACAUCUGCUGCCAAUCCUCCUCUUUUUGCUGAGGAAGGCUGGCCCUGAGCUAACAUCCAUGCCCAUCUUCCUCUACUUUAUACUUGGGACGCCUACCACAGCAUGGCUUUUGCCAAGCGGUGCCAUGUCCACACCCGGGAUCUGAACUGGCGAACCCCGGGCCACCGAAACAGAACAUGCGAACUUAACUGCUACGCCACCGGGCCGGCCCAUUGAAUACCUUUUGAGCAAUUUCACUUUUAGGAAUCCCCCAAAGGAAAUAACAAACCACAUGCAAGAACUUAUGAACAAAAAAUAUUGAGCACUGCGUUCUUUAUGAAUACCAGACAAAAAUGUUUAGCAUGUCUAUAGCCAUUUCCCGAAUGCCAGGCCUUGUUCUAGUGUUAACACAUAUGGACACAUUGAAGCCUCAUAACAGCCCUCUCAGGCGUCAUUUCCAUCUCAGGGGUGAGCAAAUGAGUGCACAGUGAGUCAAUCUCUCCUCUCAAAUCUGGCAGGACAGCCACACCCUCCCGAGACUCCUGCACAUCCUGGACCGUCUACUCCCUGGCCAUCUCUCCUCCAGUGGUCUCGUCUUGCUAACUGCCUGCUAUCCCUACCAUCUCUGUCUGUCUUCCUUCUCCCACAGCCUGCCCACAUGCAGGUCUGGGGUGGUAGAAAGGAUUUCCAUUACAGACAUUCCACAAACAAAAGAACCGGGUGUCAGACAUCCCAGCCGUGGGAAGUCCACUGAGAUGGGCUUCUCCUCUUCCUCACUGGGAGGCUUUCUCUCACCCUACCCACCCUGCUCUCCCCCACCUAGCUUCCAGCUCUUUUCCUAUGCAGAGGGUUUCUCUCUAUGUAGCCUGAGCAGCUUCCUCCUUCCUGAACUGCAAGCUGUGCCUCCCGACCACCCCACCCAGGUAAGCCCUGGGCCUUGCCACACCCCACUUCUCUCCAGCCCUACCACCUAAGGCUACGCAAGUGCACCAGCCUCUCUGAAGGGGGUGGAGGAGUAACUAAAAGGAAUGCAACGUAGCCACACCAAACACACUUAUCAGAGGGACAUGCACAAAAUGUCAAAUCCCACCUGGGUAUUAUCUGCCCCCCUGUCUCUAUGCCCUGCAAAGGUAUCUGCCUCCCUGCUCCACCGACCCAGCCUGCACCCACUCUUGGGGGAAUUUCCCCCUCCUGCCAUCUCCUUCCCUCUAGAAGGUCUACACAGGAGUCAGGUGACCUGACUCACCAGGCCCUCAGGUGGGCACAGGUGGUUGGCAGGCUGGGACCAUUACCUAACCAUGGAUGCCCCCCUCACCUUUUAUCCUGGAGGAGGGCAAACAGGAAGUGACUGGGGAACAGAACUACCCUCGAGGACCCUGUGGGUCCCCCCUUCACCCCAGCAUCACACACACACCCUGACCCUCACUUGCAGAGCGUGACCCUCAGACUCUCUGAGCCAGAUCCUGUUGGAAGAAAAGUUUAUGAGUCUACUGUUUC